UGUUGUUUCUGCUGUGGAGCCCCUCACAUUGUUCCCACACUCUAUAAUAGACCUGCUGGGCUUUUCUGUCUCCAUUCAUUCCUCCGGGCCUCCACCAGCGCGCAGCAGGAGGAGGAGCGUUAACGGCGCCGGUCAGCAGGGCGGACAUGGCGGCGCAAAGCCCAGCAUUUAGUGCUGGACGGGAGCCGUUUCUCAGCAUUUAUACUAUAUAUUGUUUUGAUAAUUAUAUUUGAAGCCGUAAUCACGGAGGAGUCACGUUUGUUUGUGUUUGUCUGUGCGCGGAGAUGCUGCCGGUGUUCGGUGCGCAAAGAUGUGACUUUCUGUGGGUGAGGCUGCAAAGUUUCCAGGCAGAACUCCAAAACCAGGGCGGCUGUUUCAGAAGAAUGAAGUUUCAGCGCCUCCGCCCAGAUGAAAGCCUCCAUUAAUGUCAUUCUAGUGUCCCGCUGCUCUGCUCUGCUCUCCGGGCUGUUUGAGAUGUUUCUGCUGCAGGAUGGACCAAAUUACCAACACUGAAGCAGGAAUGAUCAAGCAGCCGUGUUUCAGGCAAGAGAAGAACUGCAAAAUCACAACCCUGCACCAAACUGGACUGACUGUAUGCUACAGUGUUUAGCAGAAGUUUUGUUCAUUCAUCAAAGACACAGCUUUUUAAAUCAUAAACUGGAUAAUACCUAAGUACUUACAUAAAUGUAUUAUGAAAAAUCCAAG
Molecule: long non-coding RNA, 705 nt
Organism: Thunnus maccoyii (southern bluefin tuna)
Lineage: Eukaryota; Metazoa; Chordata; Actinopteri; Scombriformes; Scombridae
Exons: 4
Source: RefSeq, a predicted model, not a curated record